RNAcentral lists this ribosomal RNA (451 nucleotides) under uncultured bacterium. Its description in RNAcentral is "partial 16S ribosomal RNA". It matches the Rfam family "Bacterial small subunit ribosomal RNA", at positions 28 to 507 of the family's 1533-position model. The record is from RNAcentral.
GAUGAACGCUGGCGGCGUGCCUAACACAUGCAAGUCGAGCGGCAGCGAGGGGUGCUUGCACCCUGUCGGCGAGCGGCGGACGGCUGAGUAACGCGUGGGAACGUGCCCCAAAGUGAGGAAUAACUGCCCGAAAGGGUAGCUAAUACCGCAUAUUAUCUUCGGGUCAAAGGAUUUAUCCGCUUUGGGAGCGGCUCGCGGCGGAAUAGGUAGUUGGUGUGGUAAUGGCCCACCAAGCCGCCGAUCCGUAGCUGGUCUGAGAGGAUGACCAGCCAGACUGGAACUGAGACACGGUCCAGACUCCUACGGGAGGCAGCAGUGAGGAAUCUUCCACAAUGGGCGAAAGCCUGAUGGAGCAACGCCGCGUGCAGGACGAAGGCCUUCGGGUUGUAAACUGCUUUUAUAAGUGAGGAAUAUGACGGUAACUUAUGAAUAAGGAUCGGCUAACUACGUG